RNAcentral lists this ribosomal RNA (516 nucleotides) under uncultured Lachnospiraceae bacterium. RNAcentral's name for it is "partial 16S ribosomal RNA". The record is from RNAcentral. Lineage: Bacteria; Bacillati; Bacillota; Clostridia; Lachnospirales; Lachnospiraceae.
CACGUAGUUAGCCGGGGCUUCUUAGUCAGGUACCGUCAUUUUCUUUCCUGCUGAUAGAGCUUUACGUACCGAAAUACUUCUUCACUCACGCGGCGUCGCUGGAUCAGGGUUCCCCCCAUUGUCCAAUAUUCCCCACUGCUGCCUCCCGUAGGAGUUUGGGCCGUGUCUCAGUCCCAAUGUGGCCGUCCACCCUCUCAGGCCGGCUACUGAUCGUCGCCUUGGUGGGCCGUUACCCCGCCAACCAGCUAAUCAGACGCGGGCCCAUCCCAUACCACCGGAGUUUUUCACACACCUUCAUGCGAAGCUGUGCGCUUAUGCGGUUUUAGCACCUGUUUCCAGGUGUUAUCCCCCGGUAUGGGGCAGGUUGCCCACGCGUUACUCACCCGUCCGCCACUAACUUACACUUCCGUUAGUCAAUGCAAGCAUCUCCUGCUUCUGUGUAAGUCCGUUCGACUUGCAUGUGUUACGCACGCCGGCGGUCGUCUCUCUGCGCGAGUACUACUAACUACUCGUGAC